RNAcentral lists this ribosomal RNA (256 nucleotides) under uncultured bacterium. RNAcentral's name for it is "partial 16S ribosomal RNA". It matches the Rfam family "Bacterial small subunit ribosomal RNA", at positions 336 to 609 of the family's 1533-position model. The record is from RNAcentral.
UUCCUACGGGAGGCAGCAGUGGGGAAUAUUGCACAAUGGGGGAAACCCUGAUGCAGCAACGCCGCGUGAGUGAAGAAGUCAUUCGUGAUGUAAAGCUCUAUCAGCAGGGAAGAAAAUGACGGUACCUGAGUAAGAAGCCCCGGCUAACUACGUGCCAGCAGCCGCGGUAAUACGUAGGGGGCAAGCGUUAUCCGGAUUUACUGGGUGUAAAGGGAGCGUAGAUGGCCAGACAAGUCUGAAGUGCAAAUCCAGCGCU